UAUUGUGAGAGAAAGCAUCAAGCUGGAUUAAAAUGGAUCAUACGAAAGAAAAAAAUCAAGGGACUAACAAAAUAAACUAGACCCUGUUCCAAAGGCCCGCCACCUUGAAAAAUAAGUAAAAUUGAUGGAUUUUAUCCAUGUGAGCACAUCCAAUAGACGAGAUCUAAGACAGCUGCCGAGCGUGUCCUGUAUCACGAUCAUCAACAGAGUCAGUUUUUAUACAGGAGAAACAUUUUGGAAUGUCUGUAACGGCUCACAGACAAACCUACUUCCGGUGUGUGCAAGACCUUGGAAUUUUACAUCAGAAGGAGAAGACUGUACUUUCAAAGCUGUUCCUGUCAAAAUGGAGAGUGGGAGAGACUUGAAGAAGCCUAGCAAGAGAUGGACGACAGGGAAAGAGGAAACGGCGAGUUGCCACCUUUGCCACUGACCUUCAAUGGCUGACACUAUAUCCUCUGCUUGUCUAUCUUCUCACCAACAAUAAUCUGCUCUCUUUUGAUCUCUGUAGCUUUGCAAAUGCUGACAGAGGCCUUGCUCUCCCGAGGAAGGCAGCUUUUCUUUUCGGCGAGGUUUCAAACACGUAACGGAGGUGAAGUGUGCAGGGAUAUGGCUUUCAUAAAGACUGCAGUCCACUCCAGGAAAGCAUCACAUUGCCUUCCCUGGAGCAUUUCAGCAGAACUACGAAAUAAAGCUAAACCUGGGAGGAUAGCCACCGAGCCACGGACAUCAACUAUUCAGGCUGAAAGGCAUUGUAAACAUCUCAUUUAAAUGCAGAAUUCCCAACCAGACUAGUGCAGAUUUGACACACAGUGGGGUAGCGGCAGCUUACAAAGUGCCAAACGACAAAAACAACAUGAUUUUUAAUCUCAUUAGUUGUCGCCUCCGUGGUUAAUUUAAUCACCUAAUAUAAUUUUUAAACAUGUCUUAAUGUGUACGAGGGCCUGUUGCUACUUUCCCUGUAUGUAGUUUGUUUAAUAUAGUUUAGUCUUUAUUUGAAGGGACAAUGCACAGAAACAUUAAGCUCAAAGACAGAUAUGUUCUGUACCAGAUUAUAGCUAAAUAGCUAAUUUCCAUCUGCAGUCCCUGGCUACCUAAAUUAAAGGGAUACAAAAAUCAUGCAAUAAAAUUAUGACAUAUAAGUGAGAAGGCCGCAACAUUAAAUGUGUGGCAUGUCGGUGUCCGCCGCACCUGUCUUGUAAUUAGUGGGCGGCACCAAUCAUAGUCUAUAAAGCCUCGUGGAUGGCAGGCACACCAUAUGGCGUGUUGCAUGGCCAUUUGAUUGGCGGAAAGUUGUGUACCUGGGUGUUUCGCUGUGGCGUGUGUUGCUAGACAGCGGCUCCUGCCCAAGGUAAGAUGUAUCUGGGUUUGCCUCUCUGUUGGGGCUUUAAGCCAAGACUGACAAACGUCUUGCUUAGAUCUCGAGUUCCACUUGGGACCAGUCAAUGGCCAUUUCCGGCUCUCCCCCUCCUCCCGCUGUGUGCAGGUGCGUGCCUUCACGGCAGGUAAGACGCCAAAGUGCAUAUUUGAUCUUUUUAUGCCAUUAAGACUCAUGUUGUUACGGCUCAAGCUCUUGCCGCCACACAGUCUGCUGUGCACUCCUCUGAGUGGGCCUCUGGACACGCCCACGGGCGUUCCUCUCCUACUGCGGACACGCCUCCGCGCAGCUGCACACAAUUGGCAAUCAACAAACCUGCUGCUGAUGAGAGCCCCACGUCCUUCAUAAGCCAGCGGAUCCUGCGUUUCAGUGCCAGAACGUAGCUACUUGUCACGUACAUGUGUCUCGUCUCCCCGGAUUCCCUCCUGUCUUCUUGAUGUCUUCCUGGAUCUUGACCUCUCGCCUGGACACGGAAUUUGACGCCUCGCUCCUGCCCUUGACCUCUUGCUUGCCCACGGCCCUCCGAACCUGCCUUUCUCCUUCUGGACUUCCGCACCUUCCUCAACCUGCACCUUCAACAACUCCUGGUAACACUCAGCUAAACGCAACACAUAGUCACACCAUACAUAUUUGUAUUACUUGCACACGUCAUUCUGUUAUUUUAAUAAACAUGCCUAAGGCUAAGCGACGUCCCUGUCUCAGUGCCGUCUCCUUCUCCACCGCACAUAACACAUGUCCUCUCUUAGGUACGAGCUCUGCAGCUGUGCCUGCACCAAGGCUGCUGACAUAAAGAAUUGUUGCUUUGUCUAUUGCUUUGUCCAAUGUGUGUCUUGGGGCAGCAUUUGAACAGGGUGUGUCCUCGCUAAACCCCCCCUCAUAGUGCCCCCGCAGCGCAUCUUGUGUUGGGUGGUGCGUUCAGGUGCGCUCUGAACACAGCAAGCUAAA
Molecule: long non-coding RNA, 2320 nt
Organism: Entelurus aequoreus (snake pipefish)
Lineage: Eukaryota; Metazoa; Chordata; Actinopteri; Syngnathiformes; Syngnathidae
Exons: 3
Source: RefSeq, a predicted model, not a curated record